RNAcentral lists this ribosomal RNA (119 nucleotides) under Pteropus alecto (black flying fox). Lineage: Eukaryota; Metazoa; Chordata; Mammalia; Chiroptera; Pteropodidae. The record is from RNAcentral.
GUCUAUGGCCAUACCACCCUGAACAAGCCCGAUCCCGUCUGAUCUCGGAAGACAAGCAGGGUCGGGCCUGGUUAGUACUUGGAUGGGAGACCACCUAAGAAGACCAGGUGCUGUAGGUG